Non-coding RNA from Rhopilema esculentum, 1790 nucleotides. Lineage: Eukaryota; Metazoa; Cnidaria; Scyphozoa; Rhizostomeae; Rhizostomatidae. The record is from RefSeq and is a predicted model, not a curated record.
UUUUGAAAGAGAAAAAAACUGGCGAGCCCUCCCUUUGUCUCACUUCCGGUGAUUUUCUUAGACUCUGGUACCCGGGGUAAUGAAUGCACUGAUGCCAAAUGGGCAUUGAGUGAUGUCACUGAGUGGUCUUUUAUUUGUUUAUGAGAAACAACGCAUCCAUGCAUUUAGGAGAAACAACGCAUUUGAUCCUUCGUAACUACGCUUAAACAUAAUUCUCUCUAUAACUAGUUUGAUCCAUCUAUAACAUAAUUAUAUAACAAGAUAAAUUUAUUUGUGAUAAAGUCAGAUCUUCUAACAAACUCACGGUAUGGACGCAAUAUGAGAUGUGACUAUUCCAUGCUUUGCUGUUAAUAUUUUCCCUGGUAUGAGUAACUUUUAGGAAGUUUAGAAAGGACAUAGCUUUUCAUUUGUCAAAAUGCCAGUUCUCUAUAUGUUUGUAUUAGAAUGUUGCUGAGUUUGCAUCAGAAACUUUGACAGCGAUUGAACCAGUUUGUCAGUCCCAUUCAUGCCCAAGUGAAUAAAUUUGAUGAAUCUUAGCAUAUAUCGAUCUGCUUUAUCCUGGAUUUAAAGUGCAUAUGACACGAAAAUUUUUAUUCGCCCCCAUCACGUAAUCGAGUAUGCUGAUCACGAAAAUCACCAUAAAAUUUUCGAAAAACAAACACUUUCGUAAUUACAGCUGUUUCAAGGUCGAUUUUUGCUUCAAAUUCUGUCACAAGGGAUUGGGUCGAGUUUGACAGGAAGUGACGUAAAGUGGUUGUGUUAGCGAAAAUUUAGAUUGCUAACUAACAAGAAGUUAUACGGCGGAGUUUUACUUGCGAGUUUAUGAACAUGUCUCACGGCAAAUAUUCAAGCUCGAGGGCGUCAGCUUUUGACGAAAGUGAAGGGGAAUAGCUUUUAGGUGCUGCUGAUGGGCUAUUUUCGCCUUGCAAGAACGAACCAGUCUUUUUUCUGCGGAUAAUUCAGACGCGGAACCAGGCGAAGCUGGCAUAGCUCGAAGCUUUCAUGACCGGGCAGAGGACGAAGAUGGAAUACAAAAAUCCCAACAGCGUGAUCGAUGGCGAGGAAUUAUUACUUUGAGUCAAUGGUAUCUCUGUGCAAUGGCAUACAGUCUUGGUGUCUGUCAGAGACAAACGUAGAUACUUCAAUUCCAGAACUUCUGAGAGAUUCAAAACCUUGUUGAUGCCAAAGCAACUCCAUCUGUGCAGAGCUUCCGUUAACGCUGCCUGUGAAGAACGAGGAACACAAAUUUCAAUGUUUACAUUUAGCAACAAACAUGAUCCAAGAUUAAUUUUUUGGUCUUUGACCAAGGCUGACCAGCUCAAAGACCACUAUUUCUGUUAUACAGAAACGACUGAGUCCGUGAUUUAAUUGAAAGUUUUUAUAUCAUGUUUUGUUACUUGGUGACUUCUGUUUAUUGUUAAUCGAUUCUCGCUUGCAUUUUGAAUCUUUAUCCCAUAGAAUAUCAUUUCCCUGCUUCUUAAAUAUUUCUUGAGUUGCCAACCCACUGCUUUUUUAGUUUCCAAAACCUUUUUCGCUUUUGUAUAAAAUAUUGAAGUAGUUUACAUUUGUUUAAAUGGUUUAAAAAAAUAGCUGCAAAAUUUAAUAUUUGGGUUAUUUUUAUGUAUUAAAAACGGUAAUAUGGACCCCACACAGAGAGACAAGGAGUCCCUUUUUUCCAUAAAGCGAGUGCCCCCGGUGUUGUCGAGUCAUUACCAAUAACGUAUCUCAGCUGUUACACAAUAGAACGUUGUUAGGCAGUUAUAAAAAAACAAUAGGAAACUUAUUACUCA